Molecule: small RNA, 410 nt
Filed under: Malus domestica (apple)
Lineage: Eukaryota; Viridiplantae; Streptophyta; Magnoliopsida; Rosales; Rosaceae
Description: sRNA MD12G0002200
Source: RNAcentral
AUGACUGCAAAAAAUGAUCAUCACAAGGAACUUGAACAUGCUCUGGUUCUAUUUGAUAUAGUACUGCUCCUACUGUGCUUCCUUGUUGAAGAAGCUUCUGCAUUUGCAUAGCUGUAAUAUCCUCCAUUUGAUGCAGGGUAGAUUUCGGGCUAGUAAUACAAAAAGUUUGAGAGCCUUUUGAGAACUGCAUGUAUAACUUGUCGAAAUCCCACAAUAUUGGGCCAAAAGUUCGCAACCAUGGAACUCCUAGUACCAUUUCGCAACCACCCAAUGGAAUCACAUACAGGUCUGUUGUACAACUGUAACCCUGAAUCUUGAUGGUUGUUUGCGCCAAGGUCCCUUUGGUAGCCACACGACCACCAUCUGCAAUCUUGACAUUAAAAAUGUGACUUGUAUCUAACUGCCCUCUC